This 508-nucleotide ribosomal RNA is filed under the name Cryptotriton nasalis (Cortes salamander). Its description in RNAcentral is "partial 16S ribosomal RNA". It matches the Rfam family "Bacterial large subunit ribosomal RNA", at positions 1816 to 2597 of the family's 2925-position model. Lineage: Eukaryota; Metazoa; Chordata; Amphibia; Caudata; Plethodontidae. The record is from RNAcentral.
CGCCUUCUGACCUAUAAACGUAGAAGGUCCUGCCUGCCCAGUGACCCCAUUUAACGGCCGCGGUAUUAUGACCGUGCAAAGGUAGCGUAAUCACUUGUCUUUUAAAUAAAGACCAGUAUGAACGGCUAAACGAGGGCCUAACUGUCUCCCCAAGUCAGUCAGUGAAAUUAAUCUUCCCGUGCAGAAGCGGGAGUAAAAAUAUAAGACGAGAAGACCCUGUGGAGCUUAUAAAUUUAAGCUACAACACGUACGCACCAGAUUUUUGGUUGGGGCGACCAUGAGGCAAAAUAAACCCUCAAGAUUUAAAACCAGAAGGACACUUCAAACUAUGGUACACCCACACAUUGACCCAACACUUGACUAACGAACCAAGUUACCCCAGGGAUAACAGCGCAAUCCUCUCACAGAGCCCCUAUCGACGAGCGGGUUUACGACCUCGAUGUUGGAUCAGGACCCCCAAGCGGCGCAGCAGCUGUCAAAGGUUCGUUUGUUCAACGAUUAAAGUCCU